RNAcentral lists this ribosomal RNA (216 nucleotides) under Glomeromycotina sp. RNAcentral's name for it is "partial small subunit ribosomal RNA". The stretch from base 40 to 216 matches the Rfam family "Eukaryotic small subunit ribosomal RNA", at positions 686 to 864 of the family's 1831-position model. Lineage: Eukaryota; Fungi; Glomeromycota. The record is from RNAcentral.
GGGUCAGUAGGUUGGUCAUGCCUAUGGUACGUACUGGUCUCACUGAUUCCUCCUUCCUGAAGAACCGUAAUGCCAUUAAUUUGGUGUUGCGGGGAAACAGGACUGUUACUUUGAAAAAAUUAGAGUGUUUAAAGCAAGCUAACGCUUGAAUACAUUAGCAUGGAAUAAUGAAAUAGGACGAUCGAUCCUAUUUUGUUGGUUUCUAGGAUUGACGUA